GACGAACGCUGGCGGCGUGCUUAACACAUGCAAGUCGAACGGAAAGGCCCUGCUUUUGUGGGGUGCUCGAGUGGCGAACGGGUGAGUAACACGUGAGUAACCUGCCCUUGACUUUGGGAUAACUUCAGGAAACUAGGGCUAAUACCGGAUAGGAACUCCUGCUGCAUGGUGGGGGUUGGAAAGUUUCGGCGGUUGGGGAUGGACUCGCGGCGCAUCUGCUUGUUGGUGGGGUAGUGGCUUACCAAGGCGUUGACGGGUAGCCGGCCGGAGAGGGUGAUCGGCCACACUGGGCGUGAGACACGGCCCAGACGCCUACGGGAGGCAGCAGUAGGGAAUCUGCGGCAAUGGGCGAAAGCCUGACGGAGCAACGCCGCGUGAGUGAAGAAGGAUUUCGGUUCGUAAAGCUCUGUUGUUAGGGAAGAAUGAGUGGGUAGUAACUAUACACAGUAGAGACGGUACCUAACCAGAAAGCCACGGCUAACUACGUG
RNAcentral lists this ribosomal RNA (488 nucleotides) under uncultured bacterium. Its description in RNAcentral is "partial 16S ribosomal RNA". It matches the Rfam family "Bacterial small subunit ribosomal RNA", at positions 28 to 507 of the family's 1533-position model. The record is from RNAcentral.